GCAACCUGUAUGGAGAGGGAGGACAGGUAAGUGGAUGAAUGACCUUAAGGGGAGUCUUGAAAUUUGUAGAGAAUAGUUUGCUUACAGAAAGGAGCUGGAGGAAACCACCAGAGGGUGAAACGAUGCAGAGCCUGGGAGGUCGGUGGAUGUUUUUUUGUUGAGGUAGCAUUUGUAAUCCCUAGAUGAAAGGCUUGGAUUAACACAGGUUUGAAUUGCAUUUUCCAGGAUUGAUGGUUGCCAGACAGAGGUGAGUUUUGCACUUGGUGGUGGACUCUGUUACUCACAGUAGAGGGUGGACUAGGUUUGCGUGCAGGUUGCUUGGAGCUUGGACACAGCCAGCUGGAGCUGGGUAGAACGAGGGAGUUUGGAAUCAGAGAUACUUAGAUCUUGCCAGAGAAGCGACACCGGGACUGGAGCCAAGGUCAGGAAAAAAACCUGAGAAGGAGCAUAACAACAAGGACUUGAUUGAUGAUAACCAACACCUGCUGCACACAUCUACAAGGAGCCCUGACGCCAUCUGGUGACUAAGCACAAGUCAGAGUGGCAGGGGCGGAGCCUUCUUCACACACCUGACCUGGAUCCUGCUGAUGAGUGCAGCUGGCAUUUAAGCUCUAGGAUGUGAUCCAUUCCUUGUCGGAUUAUUCAGUGACACUGGACACUUUGUGAAGUCUGGAACUCACCUUUUGCUGGAGCUUAAGGACUCUUGGAUGUGGACUCACUCUCCUGGAAACUCUCACCUGAAGGUCAACAAUCUUCUGUCCUGCCACUCUCCCUCUCUCUCUCGGACCUGUAACACAAACUUACCCCGAAAACGGAAUCACUUACCUCCUGGAUAUCUUGUGCCUCCUCCUCAGAGCUUACCUUCCUCCCAAGAGCCUGAUGAAUCAACUUCCAUCAUUUCCUUUUGUAAAUAAACUUCACUUAAACUUUUC
This is a long non-coding RNA of Girardinichthys multiradiatus, 932 nucleotides long. RefSeq lists it as uncharacterized. The record is from RefSeq and is a predicted model, not a curated record. NCBI's taxonomy places the organism in Eukaryota, Metazoa, Chordata, Actinopteri, Cyprinodontiformes, Goodeidae. The transcript is spliced from 5 exons.